CGAGUGAAGCGGCAACAGCUCAAAUUUGAAAUCUGGCCCCCUCGGGGUCCGAGUUGUAAUUUGCAGAGGGUGCUUUGGUGUUGGCUGUGGUCCAAGUUCCCUGGAACAGGACGUCGCAGAGGGUGAGAACCCCGUACGUGGCCGCCAGCCUUCGCCGUGUAAAGCCCCUUCGAAGAGUCGAGUUGUUUGGGAAUGCAGCUCUAAAUGGGAGGUAAAUUCCUUCUAAAGCUAAAUAUUGGCCAGAGACCGAUAGCGCACAAGUAGAGUGAUCGAAAGAUGAAAAGCACUUUGGAAAGAGAGUGAAACAGCACGUGAAAUUGUUGAAAGGGAAGCGCUUGGAGCCAGACGUGCCCGUAGUUGCUCAGCCGGGGUCUUCCCCGGUGCACUCUUCUGCGGGCAGGCCAGCAUCAGUUUGGGCGGUCGGACAAAAGCCUGCUAAACGUACCUCCCCCCGGGGAGGACUUAUAGGGUAGGUGGCAUACGACCAGCCCGGACUGAGGACCGCGCAUCUGCUAGGAUGCUGGCGUAAUGGCUGUAAGCGGCCCGUCUUGAAACACGGACCAAGGAGUCUAAAAUCUAUGCGAGUGUUUGGGUGUCAAGCCCGAGCGCGCAAUGAAAGUGAACGCAGGUGGGAACCCCUCGGGGUGCACCAUCGACCGAUCCUGAUGUUUUCGGAAGGAUUUGAGUAUGAGCAUAGCUUUUGGGACCCGAAAGAUGGUGAACUAUGCCUGAAUAGGGUGAAGCCAGAGGAAACUCUGGUGGAGGCUCGCAGCGGUUCUGACGUGCAAAUCGAUCGUCAAAUUUGGGCAUAGGGG
This 815-nucleotide ribosomal RNA is filed under the name Sclerostagonospora sulcata. RNAcentral's name for it is "partial large subunit ribosomal RNA". It matches the Rfam family "Eukaryotic large subunit ribosomal RNA", at positions 90 to 923 of the family's 3401-position model. The record is from RNAcentral. Lineage: Eukaryota; Fungi; Ascomycota; Dothideomycetes; Pleosporales; Phaeosphaeriaceae.